CGUGGAGAGCGGACCACGGCCGCUGCCGUCGAAAGAACUGCACUACACCGGCAGAAUUUCCCUGCCUGCCUGAGAUUACCGCGCGGUGGACGGAGGACGCAGCCCACACCGGAAGAGCAUUUCCCAGCUUCCUCCACGUCGGCGACGAGUUACCUGUGCCUCGCACUUCGCCCAGUAAAACCACACUUCCCAGAAGGCUGCGCGUUCGCGCGCGCUUUGGGAGCCCAGCGAGAAAAACGGCUGAGUUUUCCGAGGAGUGCCACCGUCUGCAGCCUUCGUUGCAAAGCUGCUCUGCUAGGACGCGCACACGAAGUGUCGAGAGGACAACAGGCCCGCGCUCUGCGUGCUUCUUAAGUACAGGGGCGCCCAAAGCACGAAACUACACUUCCCAGAACAUGAUGCGGCCGCGAAAGGUCUUCCGGGUCGCCGGGUCGCUAGCGCGGACGCCCUCCUGCUGGGACUUGGGCAGUCCUUGCUGGUGCCGGGGGAGAGCGGGCGUCUAUCCGCGGAAGGUUUCUCAGGCAGAAUUCUGAGCCGCUCUGGCCAGCUCGUGUGGGCCUGGAGUGUUGGCGCCAGCUUGCCCAGCACUGUGGUUCCUAAAAGGCCCUGUGUCCGGGCUGUCAUGGCAACCGUUGUGAGCGGACAGAAGACACUUCUCGGAAAUUCGUGCGGUCCCGUCACGGCUAUGAUACUGACUGCCGCUAUCAUGUGUACAGGUCCUCGAAGGACUCAGAAACGGCGGCCUCAGGACAUAAAGCUUCUGAGGCGAGCAUCUAAGGCGAGAAAGGAAGUCUUGUUACGAAACUAUGCCCAAGCCAGACUGCACUGAAAACCCGCCAGCAUGGACCGGAGAACUUCAGGUCACUGUUCCUUGGGGUUAAACUGGAGUUUGAUGGGAUGGAAGCCACACUGACUCCUGGGUCUUUAAUCUUGCCUUCCUGUGAGGAAGAUGAAAGUGGGUCUUCUCUCCCUUUCUCAACCUCCCUCUUCGACCUGCUGCAUGCCGCCCCAGAAAGCCACCAUCACCACCAACUGGUUCCAGAACAGGACAGUCGCAGCUCCUGAGACUGGUCUGUCCGAGGCUCCAGAUAGGAAGGCUUUCCCCAGGAAGCAAGGCGGUAGUCCUGAAACUUCAGACCCAUCUGCCUGGCCAGGGUGUGGAGCAAUGCCUUCCUGCCCGAAGUAGCAUUAAGUUCGUUCCAUGCCCCUGGAGCACUGCACAGGGGACCCAGUCUGAAGGUCCUGAUUGUACCAAAUUGUCCUCUGUGCCAGAUGUGAAAGGUUGCCCUGAAGAGGCUGGGCGUCCUCCGUUGGCCCGGCUGCACCCGGGCAUGGUGCAUUAAGUUUCUCCACCCCUCGGCUCAUCGUCCAGUUGCGGCUAUUGUCGUUUGUACGCGCUGUGCUCCCUCGGGCCCCGAGCUUCCCCCGGAUCCAGUCUCUCAGGGCCGCCCGGGCACGCACCAGCUCUUCCACCAGGCUGGCUCCUUUAGCCCUGCCCACAGCUGCUCGGUCAUGCUCGUCUGUGUGCUUGAAGAUCUCCAACAGCGUCUGCAGUCCUGACACGCAUCUUCCGUGACUUUAGCUGGUCUAAAAGGGAAUCUGUGCAUUUCUUACACAGUGGUGAUCCGCAUCUCUCUGGCCCAAUGGGGGGGGGGGGUCAGAAAGGACCCGCGGUGACCUGUCUUUGGCUCACGUUCUCCAUGGUGCCACCACUGGACGUCUCCGCAAACAGUGCAAAGCUGUUGGCACCCUGCGUACGCGUCAUGGUGGCUGGGAGAUGAGGACUCUGCGGGACAUACCAUCCUGGGGAGGUUCAGUACAUGGCUUCUCCCCUUAGUUAGCCCCUUCCUCCGGGGCCUCUCCUGGUUUCACCUGGGCUGGAGCACGUCAUGGAGCUGGGAGCACCUGGGUGGUGAUGCGAUCCAUUUCGGGGCCUGGCUGCAGCACUGACAGCCAGAGCGGGUCUGCACGGCGCUGCUAGGCCCCUGCAACCCCUCCAUCCUUUGGGACCUGGAGCCACCAUCCUCCUCCAGUCUACCCCGGGGGAGCCGUGGCCUCUAGAACUGCAGCCACCCCGUCUUCAGCUACUUCCCCAUCCGCCAGACAACAGGAACUCACUUUCACUGAGCAUUUAUUAUGCACCUGUUAGUGUUCUCAGUGCUUUAUAUGCACUGACCCAUUCACUUCGCCAACAUCCACCAGCGUGUUAGGAGCCAGAUGCUGGACAAGGGGCUGGCCCCAGCUGUGGUAACUGCAGUCCCAGACCCUGUUGCUUUGGAGAGUGGGGUUUGGUGGGCAAGACAACCCUGGGAAUGCCCAUGGCGGGGGGUGGGGGGAGGAUGUUCUUAGGGGCAGGGAGCUUCAGACGGGCCUCCGCAUACUAAAAGAACUCUCCCUGGCCCAAGCCCCCUUCACCUGCAACACCUCUUCCCAAUACACUUGAAAGAGCUGGCUAUUCUUGAUGCUUCCUCUUCCUUCCCUCCCCCCAGCUCAAGGGGCUCUGACCUACUUGUGCCUCACUGCUGCCCUGCAACAGCUUUAUUCAGGUCACGGUGAUCCCCACCUUCCCAGAGCCCCUGCUGCAGACCCUGCCCUUUUUCUGCAAGGCUUCUCUGAUGUCACCUUAAUCCACCCUCCCUACCCCGCCAGCCCACCUCACUAGCCACCCCUGCUCCAUCCCCCUUGCCAAGAGUGAGAUGUUGGGCCCCUUCCCUUUUCCGUCUCACCCUCCUUCCCUGUGAUCUCAGCCAUGAUCUCGAACCCCCCUCGAUCGCCAGCUCGGACUUCCUCCCAACUGCUUGCUCCACACGACAGACACAGUGGUGUCUGUCCUCUGCCUCCAUAUGGCAAAGCGGAGUACUCCAUUUACAGUCCCCCACAGAACCUGUUCUGCCACGUCUCCCCCUUCAGGGAAGGGGUAACACAUCCACCCACGCGCUCAGUCUAAAAGCCAGUGAAUCGGGGUGCCUGGGUGGCGCAGUCGUUAAGCGUCUGCCUUCGGCUCAGGGCGUGAUCCCGGCGUUCCAGGAUCGAGUCCCACAUCAGGCUCCUCCGCGGAAGUCUGCUUCUUCCUCUCCCACUCCCCCUGCUUGUGUUCUCUCUCACUGACUGUCUGUCUCUGUCAAAUAAAU
Molecule: long non-coding RNA, 3131 nt
Filed under: Ursus maritimus (polar bear)
Lineage: Eukaryota; Metazoa; Chordata; Mammalia; Carnivora; Ursidae
Description: lncRNA (ENSUMAG00000018471.1)
Source: RNAcentral